UGUACAUCUGCCUUCCCUAUAGAGCUUUGUGGACACCACCUGGACAGGUGGUGAAAUGUAGGAAAAGGGACACCGGCAGAUUGUGGCUGUAAAGAUCCCUAAACGCUUCAGCUCUGAAACCCUGGAUGAGGUUUCCAUGCUGAGAAAGAUGAAGCGCCUAGAUAUUGGGAAAUACAACAUUGUUGAGUUUAUUGACGCUUUCCCCACCCAAUUUGGAAAUGCGUUGGUGUUUGAGGCGUUGGAUAUAAGCCUGUAUGACUACUGUAUCUUGGCAAGACAAAUUGUGAACCUAUGCAUCUGAGUGACAUCAGAGCCAUCAUCAAACAGUUGGCCACAGCACUUGACGCGCUGAAGAAGAGCGGGAUAAUCCACACUGAUGUCAAAUGCGACAACAUAAUGAUGGUGAAUCAUCAACUACGACCCCUCCAAGUCAAGCUGAUAGACUUCGGCGUGGCCAUUUCCACGUCACGUGCCAGGCAGGGCAUGCGUCUGCAACCACUGAGUCUUCGGUCUCCAGAAAUUAUUUGUGGCCUUCCAUUUUCUGAGGCCAUUGAUAUGUGGUCCCUGGGCUGUGUGAUGGCCUUGAUGUUCCUCGGCAACCGACUGUUCGAAGCCCCAUCUGAGUAUGAAUUAGUAAGUCCUCUACUAUAGUCAGACAGUUUGUCAGUGACUUGGAUUUCUUAAAGAAAGCGUUGGUCUUAUUGUUCAAAUAGAUGAAAAUGCUCUAAAUGUACUUUGAGUCUGGCAGAGGGAAGUCAAUGUAACAGUGAGUGUGUCUGUGUGUGCAUGUUUAGUUUCCAGACUGUCGAGGUCAAGACAUCAAGGAACUCAGGCUUCGCUUCUUCGAACGAGAGCUUCGAAUGUGACCCUCCUGUCACCCCACUGAAGGAUGAAGACAGCAGUAACUUCUGCCCAGACGACAGCAAUCCAUCCCCUGAAACUCUCUCAUCAGGCCCAAAAGCCGAAAGCACGGUGCUGUACGAAGAUCAGAGUCCUGUUAGGUUUGAGUCUGAGCUGAGCAAGACGUCAGAGCCCUCAGUGACGCAUAGCGACAGUAGCACGAGCCCCUUAAUAUCUGAAGACUCAGAAGACCGUGGGAGAAGGAAGAAUUGCUUCCAAUGCUUCUUCUCUUGGAUGAAGAAGACCUUCUGCUGCUGCUGUGUUACCGACGUUGAUGUUGAUUAGGGAAGUGUGAAGUUUCCUCUAACCCUCCUCCCUAAGUUACAGUUUUCUCCGGGUUGCUCCGGUUCACCAACAUUUACAUUUGUAACAAAAAAAAAAUCUGAAUUCAGGGAUUGCGUCGUGGGCAGCGAUGACUAAAUCACCUUCCCCAACUUUUUUCCUCUUUUAACAUCUCAAAGCAUGAAUUUCGUCUUGAAGGAAACAGGUUUUCAAACCACCACACCUUCAAUUUCCCCUGACUGGUUUAGAAGGUCAGAUGAAGUGGAGGGUAGCUGUGGUCCAGUAUUAGGGAACUGCUUUCCUUCACAGUGGAGCUACGGUGGGAAAUGUUUGGGCCAGAUGGAAAGUCAGUUUUAACACUCACUGGCCUCAGCGCUGGUCAGGGUUGGAUUACCAGCCUCAAUCAUUGCUGUGUGGAGAUUAUUGACUCCCUGAGUUAGAACGGUUUACUUCGGGUUGCUCUAUUUAAUUCUGAAAUGGACAGAGAGCCAGUUAAGAAAUGUUUGGAUAAGAGUGAUGUGAUGUCAUCUAUUAAAAGCAUUAAAAGGAAUAGUUGCUGCACUCUGGACGAGUCGGAGGCCGGAGAAAGACUUCUGUGUGUUACCAGAAGGAAAGGAGGUCCAGUAAUCCAGCCAGGAAAAGAUCAGUGUGCAGGAACUGCUUCUUCCAGGCUCAUUUCUGCUGGAUCACGGGCCCAUGGGAACAGCUGUGAUGCGACAUCUAUUGCAUAUCUGUCUGUUCCUCCUCUGUGGCUCUUCUUGGGGUUUCUCCCAUCUUUUUUCCCCCUUUAAAAGGGUUUUUUCUCUCUCAAUAUGGCGAUUUUUCAUUUGAACCGAGGGUGUAAGGACAGACAUGUAACUUAAUGUCUGUACUAAUAGCAAAGGUAUGUCUGUAACAUUUCUUGUAACCGAAUUAUCACAAAUCACAAAUGGCCAAAGUGUUUGCAGUUUAUAUCAUAAUCAGGGAAUAGCAUUUACAUCAUCACUGGCAAUACUAUUUUUUACAGUGAUAUUAUACGUUUGUAUGUCUAAUAUCUUUGAUUAGGCCUAUAUUUUGAAAGUAGACUGUUAUUAACAUGAUUUACA
Molecule: long non-coding RNA, 2267 nt
Organism: Acanthopagrus latus (yellowfin seabream)
Lineage: Eukaryota; Metazoa; Chordata; Actinopteri; Spariformes; Sparidae
Exons: 6
Source: RefSeq, a predicted model, not a curated record